UACGGAGGGUGCGAGCGUUAAUCGGAAUUACUGGGCGUAAAGCGCACGCAGGCGGUCUGUUAAGCUAGAUGUGAAAGCCCCGCGCUCAACGUGGGAGGGUCAUUUAGAACUGGCAGACUAGAGUCUUGGAGAGGGGAGUGGAAUUCCAGGUGUAGCGGUGAAAUGCGUAGAGAUCUGGAGGAACAUCAAUGGCGAAGGCAACUCCCUGGCCAAAGACUGACGCUCAUGUGCGAAAGUGUGGGUAGCGAACAGG
Molecule: ribosomal RNA, 253 nt
Filed under: uncultured bacterium
Lineage: Bacteria
Description: partial 16S ribosomal RNA
Rfam family: Bacterial small subunit ribosomal RNA
Source: RNAcentral